This 2027-nucleotide non-coding RNA is filed under the name Rhynchocyon chrysopygus (golden-rumped elephant shrew). Its description in RNAcentral is "partial contains 12S ribosomal RNA, tRNA-Val (trnV), and 16S ribosomal RNA". The stretch from base 1063 to 2027 matches the Rfam family "Bacterial large subunit ribosomal RNA", at positions 1 to 2105 of the family's 2925-position model. The record is from RNAcentral. Lineage: Eukaryota; Metazoa; Chordata; Mammalia; Macroscelidea; Macroscelididae.
CAUGCAAGUAUCUGCCCCCCGGUGAAAUGCCCUUUUAACCACUUUUGGUAUUAAGGAGCUGGUAUCAAGCACACUACACAGUAGCUCAUAACACCUUGCACAGCCACACCCCCACGGGAAACAGCAGUAACAAAAAUUAAGCAAUAAACGAAAGUUCGACUAAGUUAUGCUAAUUAGGGCUGGUCAACUUCGUGCCAGCCACCGCGGUCAUACGAACAGCCCAAAUUAAUAGAACCCGGCGUAAAGUGUGGUUAUGAAAUUAAUACACUAAAGUUAAACUUAACCUCAGCUGUAAAAAGCUAAAGGUCUAAAAUUAAAUACUCUACGAAAGUGACUUUAACAAAUCAGAAUCCACGAUAGCUAAAACACAAACUGGGAUUAAAUACCCCACUAUGCCUAGCCUUAAACCUAGUUAAUUAGYUAACAAAAUUACUCGCCAGAGAACUACGAGCAAAAGCUUAAAACUCAAAGGACUUGGCGGUGCUUUAUAUCCCCCUAGAGGAGCCUGUUGUUUAAUCGAUAAACCCCGCUAAACCCYACCAUCAUUUGCUAAUCCAGUCUAUAUACCGCCAUCUUCAGCAAACCCUUAAAAGGAGUCAAAGUAAGCUUAAUUAUACUUAAUAAAAACGUUAGGUCAAGGUGUAACUUAUAUGAUGGAAACUAAUGGGCUACAUUCCCUUUUAAAGAGCAUUAACGAACACCCUUAUGAAAAGAACGGUUAAAGGAGGAUUUAGUAGUAAGCCAAGAAUAGAGAGCUUGGCUGAAUCAGGCCAUGAAGCACGCACACACCGCCCGUCACCCUCCUCAAAUGUUAUCUGAACAUAAAUAUAUUUAAAUUGAAAUAAACACAAGAGGAGACAAGUCGUAACAAGGUAAGCAUACUGGAAAGUGUGCUUGGAUUAUUCAAAGUGUAGCUUAAAACAAAGCAUCUGGCCUACACCCAGAAGAUCUCAAUUUAAUGAUCACUUUGAACUAAUACUAGCCCUACUAAAAACUUAUAAAACUAAAACUCCCAAAUAAACUAAAACAUUUAUACUAUAAAGUAUAGGAGAUAGAAAUAUGACUUAGGAUAGAAGUACCGCAAGGGAACGAUGAAAGAUAGUAGUAAAUAGCAAAGCUUAAACCUUGUACCUUUUGCAUCAUGGAUUAACUAGAAACCAUUUGACAAAGAGCCCUUCAGCCAAAACCCCCGAAACCAGACGAGCUACUCACGAACAAUAAUAGAAUAAACUCGUCUAUGUAGCAAAAUAGUGAGAAGAUUUGUGAGUAGAGGUGAAAAGCCAAUCGAGCCUGGAGAUAGCUGGUUGUCCAAAAAAAGAAUUUAAGUUCCCUAAAUUUACCCUUAAAGGAUAACCUAGCCUUAUUUCGUAAAUUUAGAGCUAAUCAAUAGAGGGACAUCUCUAUUGAUUAAGGUCACAACCUUAAUUAGAGAGUAAGUAAGUACAUAAACAUAGUAGGCCUAAAAGCAGCCACCAAUUAAGAAAGCGUUAAAGCUCAACACUAAUUUAAAAUACUAAUUCAACAAAUCCAACAAACUCCUAAUUCAAUACUGAACUAUUCUAUUUAUAUAUAGAAAUAAUAAUGUUAGUAUGAGUAACAAGAAAGACAUUCUCCUAGCACAAGCUUAUAUCAGAACGGAUGCCCACUGAUAGUUAAUAGUCCUAUAAUUAUAACCCACAAUCUAGCUAAUUAUUCUCCAUACUAUUAACCCAACACUGGUGUGCACUUAAGGAAAGAUUAAAAGAAGUAAAAGGAACUCGGCAAACAUGAAUCCCGCCUGUUUACCAAAAACAUCACCUCUAGCAUUACUAGUAUUAGAGGCCAUGCCUGCCCAGUGACAUUAGUUUUAACGGCCGCGGUACUCUGACCGUGCAAAGGUAGCAUAAUCAUUUGUUCUCUAAAUAAGGACUUGUAUGAACGGCUUCACGAGGAUUCAACUGUCUCUUACUUCCAAUCAGUGAAAUUGACCUCCCCGUGAAGAGGCGGGGAUAUAAAUAUAAGACGAGAAGACCCUAUGGAGCUUUAAU